This 234-nucleotide unclassified non-coding RNA is filed under the name Hevea brasiliensis (rubber tree). Lineage: Eukaryota; Viridiplantae; Streptophyta; Magnoliopsida; Malpighiales; Euphorbiaceae. The record is from RNAcentral.
UAUUAUUAUUAUUAUUAUUAUGACAUCUUCAUUAACUUUGAUUCCUUUCACUUCAUGAAAUAAGGUUAGAUCAAGAGACUUUAAGAAUAUAACUUCAGAUUAUUCAUGUAUUUUAAAAUUGCCCUUAUUUUGUCAAUUAAAUUAGUGUUUAGAGAGUAAUCUCAUUUUGAAAAACAGUUGUAAACAGCUUCAAUUAAUAAAACUUUCCAGAUGAAUGCCAGAUCCUUCCCCCAC